AAGAGAGAAAUGAAGUCUCUGCCAUACUAGACUUUCAUAUUCUCAAGAUGCCCAAUGCCCUUUUUGCUCCGUGCCAAAAGUCUGUACGAAGAAAAUAGUUUCUUUCUUAAGAUCUUGCUGCAUCCUUCAAAUCAGAAUUGAAUGCAAGAGUGAAGUGUUUACUUGGUCGUCAAGUCUUUGUGCCAUGUUGGAAAUGCAAGCAAUUAAGGAAAUAAUAAAUUGCACAGCAACGCUUUUCCAAUUUCUAUCGAUAAGCUUGUCUGUUUGCU
This 269-nucleotide long non-coding RNA is filed under the name Eucalyptus grandis. RNAcentral's name for it is "long non-coding RNA (EGRA_LNC001884)". Lineage: Eukaryota; Viridiplantae; Streptophyta; Magnoliopsida; Myrtales; Myrtaceae. The record is from RNAcentral.